UGGGUUUCACAUACCAGUCCCUGCUGAUCGGGGGAGGCUGGAUGAUGUGGCCUGCCUUGUAGAGAUGGUCGAAGUUGUACUGGCUAUAAGGGGUGCUGGGGAGCCCUCGCUGCCAUACCACCUCCUGAGAAAAGAGAAAGAGAUCACAAGCAGACAGAGAGAGAGAAGCAGGCUCCCCGCCAAGCAGAGAGCCCAACGCGGGGCUUGAUCCCAGGACCCCGAGAUCAUGACUUGAGCGGAUGGCAGAGGCUUCACCCACCGAGCCACCCAGAUUUCAAAUUGAGGUCCAGAGAGAAGAGACACAAUGAAGAUCACAGUACUGGUUAAUCCCUGAAGCAAUUCUAACCCUUUUGACACCUAAUCCAAAGGAUUUUCUACUACUUCAGACUGCUUUUCAUCAUUCAGCUGACGCUAAAAGCUCCUUUCAGAUACUGUAGGCUCCAUGCCCAGUGUGGAGUCCAAGGUGACUCUAAGAUUAAGACCUGAGCUGAGAUCAAGAGUCAGAGGCUCAACCAACAGAGCCACCCAGGUGCUCCAGCCAUGUUAUUCCUGAUAAAAAUUCUGGGUAAAGAAGAAAAUUAAAACUACCCAAACUACCCCAAUGCCUAAGAAAUAACAGUGUGGAUAACUGCUGACUAGUCUAUUUUUUUUUAAUGUAUUGACACACAUUUUUAAAGGUUAUAUGGAUCUCUACCUGCUUUCAGUGUCGUGAAAAUUUCCCCAUCAUAUUCUGCUACAGCAUCUCUAAUGGCUACAUAUCUUCUGUUAUAUGACUGCAUCACAAUUAAAUUGAUUAGACCAAAUUUA
Mustela lutreola (European mink) is the source of this 807-nucleotide long non-coding RNA. RefSeq lists it as uncharacterized. The transcript has 4 exons. The record is from RefSeq and is a predicted model, not a curated record. NCBI's taxonomy places the organism in Eukaryota, Metazoa, Chordata, Mammalia, Carnivora, Mustelidae.